UCUGGUAAUGAUGGCAGAGAGGUCACACCCGUUCCCAUACCGAACACGGAAGUUAAGCUCUCUAGCGCCGAUGGUAGUUGGGACCUUGUCCCUGUGAGAGUAGGACGUUGCCAGG
Molecule: ribosomal RNA, 115 nt
Filed under: Bacillus cereus
Lineage: Bacteria; Bacillati; Bacillota; Bacilli; Caryophanales; Bacillaceae
Also listed under: 2 other names
Source: RNAcentral